This 24-nucleotide non-coding RNA is filed under the name Cricetulus griseus (Chinese hamster). Lineage: Eukaryota; Metazoa; Chordata; Mammalia; Rodentia; Cricetidae. The record is from RNAcentral.
CAUUCUGAAAUAAACAUCUGUUUU